RNAcentral lists this ribosomal RNA (253 nucleotides) under uncultured bacterium. RNAcentral describes it as "partial 16S ribosomal RNA". It matches the Rfam family "Bacterial small subunit ribosomal RNA", at positions 524 to 776 of the family's 1533-position model. The record is from RNAcentral.
GACGAACCGUCCGAACGUUAUUCGGAAUUAUUGGGCUUAAAGGGUGCGUAGGCGGCGCUGUAAGUCAGGUGUGAAAUCCCACGGCUCAACCGUGGAAUGGCGCCCGAUACUGCAGUGCUCGAGGGAGACAGAGGUAAGCGGAACUGAUGGUGGAGCGGUGAAAUGCGUUGAUAUCAUCAGGAACACCAGUGGCGAAAGCGGCUUACUGGGUCUCUUCUGACGUUGAGGCGCGAAAGCUAGGGUAGCGAACGGG